This 1900-nucleotide long non-coding RNA is filed under the name Anthonomus grandis grandis. Its description in RNAcentral is "uncharacterized LOC126742952". Lineage: Eukaryota; Metazoa; Arthropoda; Insecta; Coleoptera; Curculionidae. The record is from RNAcentral.
GGUUAAAAUUGGCAUUUUAUACUCUUUAUUAAAAGCACUGAUUACAGUUAUAUUUUCAAAAUAGAUAUUUUACAAAUAUUAAUGAUUGAUACUAGUAAUGCCCUCUCUGUAAUAGCCUCCCAAGUAACCCAUAGUUCUGUUCUCUAGCCAUUUCAAAUUACAGUAUUCUUUUUUUUAAGGACACAUUUAGUUUUGUACAUUUCAGCUUCAUAUUGUACUGGUUGUUAAUGAAAUUUUAUUUAUACUCUUAUAAAACCCGGUUCUGGACUAAAGAAAUAUUUUAGAAUUUAAAUUAUAUCCCAUAUUGCUUAUUCCAUACUUUAUUUAAUUAUUUUAUAACGAAUAAUGAUUAAUUGGGCAUGUACAAUUAUUGUGUAUGUUGUACUGUUCAUAGUACAAUAUCUGAUUUUGGCUUGACCAUACCAGAUAUGCUGGUUGAUUUUACUCGGACUGACCUAUCUAAUUUUUGUCUCUUUUUAUCUAAGGUAAAUAUUAGUUUUCUUGGAAGAUAGCAAGAAGUUGCUGGUCUAGGCAAAAUCGAAAUUGAUUGUCAUAGUGACACAUAUUUUCAUUGCCAACUUCCUUGGGCCACAAAUUUUGUUAUUUAUUUUUUUAUAAAAGGUUUUAUGGUACUUAUAAAAAAAAGUUAAGUUAUUUUGUUAUAUAUUUCGAUUGGCAAUACACUUUGUGCGUGAUUGCUUAAAUACGGGUUUGACCUCUGCGGUCGUUCCUUUUCCCAGACCGCCGUCAUGAAGUGAAGAGUGCUUUAGUUCUUUUUGAAAUUCGUGUGAAUUUUACCCAUAUGGGGAUAUAAUUGACUAAAUGUGGUGAUAGUAAAUCAACUUUUUGGGCGUAAUGCUAUAAUUUGUUGUUUUGUUGAAUUUACUGGCCUUUAUGGCGAUUUAAAACCUAAUAAUUUUUCACGUGCCCUCGAACAUCGGCAAAAUAGCGGUUCUGAUUGGCAUUGGCAGGGGACAAUUUAAUUAGCAAAGCUACAUAACAUGGAUUUUGGACGGAUUUUUUUUGUACGGACCUGAUUUUUUUCAUGCCACAUGGUGCUUUCGUUUUGGGGUUAUGUACUCUAUUGGCUCUAAUCUAGAAGGAGAUUUUAAGCAACUGUGAGCUAACGUCUAACCUAGACCACUACCAGAGCUUGGCGUAUUGUGAAGUGGAAGAGGUGAAACUUGGAAGCCUGCAGUUUUUCUUGACUGGGAAUUGGAUGUCUGGGAGAGUCUCGAAUAUGAAGUAGUCUGCUGUGUAUGGAGCUAAGUGACAGAACAUAACAUUUUUUUUUUUAUUCACUUGUUUUAUUUUAUUUUUAUUAUCACGACUUUUAUCUUUUGAGUUGAGAUACAUACAUAAGCUUAUUUAAAAUUUUAUUGACAUUAUUUAAUCGAUGCUAUUUUAUUAUUGAAUAUUACUGAUAUGAGUACAUAUAUAUGUGACAAGUGACUCCUGUGAGGUAAGACGCAGCCGGCUUCGUAGUACUACGAGUAUAUACUUGGGUUAUAUUAUUUAUUUUCAGACUACUCCUAAGAUGUCAAAUUUUCUCAGAUUAGCUAGUAAAUAUUAGAGUAAACUAAUAAAAGGGAAAUUUUAAGUGGGGAAGCUUCAACAGUUAGGGUUGUUAUUUUUUUUUUGCUUAGGUCAAUGUCCGUGGCGGGAUAUACCGGGCCAUGUAAGUUAUUAGUUUAAUUGAAUUGAAGCUUCAUUCCCCAAAAGGUUUGGGUGUAACAUAGAUUAUUUUAUUUUGACAACCACACUUUGAUUGUGUAUUUUUUGUGUGAUGUUGUGGUUCCUUAUUCCCAACUUAAAUAAUUAUUCCUCUUAACGAUAAAUAACAUAACAUAAUUCUCUGUGAUAAUCAAGACUUAAAUAAAUUGUUAUUUUCUGUUGUUAA